AUACGGAAGGUCCGGGCGUUAUCCGGAUUUAUUGGGUUUAAAGGGAGCGCAGGCGGAGAUGCAAGCGUGACGUCAAAUUUCGGGGCUCAACCCCGUCUCGCGUCGCGAACUGCGUCCCUUGGUUGCGGGAAGGGGAGGCGGAACUCGCGGGGGAGCGGUGAAAUGCAUAGAUAUCACGAAGAACUCCGAUCGCGAAGGCAGCCUUCCGGCCCAUUAACGACGCUCAUGCUCGAAAGUGCGGGUAUCAAACAUGAUUAGAUACCCUGGUAGUCCGCACAGUAAACGAUGGACACCCGCUGUUUGGCCUAUAUGGCUGAGCCGCCAAGCGAAAGCGUUAAGUGUCCCACCUGGGGAGUACGCCGGCAAAGGUUAAACUCCAAAGAAUUGGCGGGG
This 393-nucleotide ribosomal RNA is filed under the name uncultured bacterium. RNAcentral's name for it is "partial 16S ribosomal RNA". It matches the Rfam family "Bacterial small subunit ribosomal RNA", at positions 523 to 918 of the family's 1533-position model. The record is from RNAcentral.